AGCGGCGGACGGGUGAGUAAUGCGUAGGAAUCUACCCUUUAGUGGGGGAUAGCCCGGAGAAAUCCGGAUUAAUACCGCAUGAGCUCUUCGGAGGAAAGUGGGGGAUCUUUGGACCUCACGCUGAAGGAUGAGCCUACGUUGGAUUAGCUAGUUGGUGGGGUAAAGGCCUACCAAGGCGACGAUCCAUAGCUGGUCUGAGAGGAUGAUCAGCCACACCGGGACUGAGACACGGCCCGGACUCCUACGGGAGGCAGCAGUGGGGAAUAUUGGACAAUGGGCGAAAGCCUGAUCCAGCCAUGCCGCGUGUGUGAAGAAGGCUCUAGGGUUGUAAAGCACUUUAAGCAGGGAAGAAACGCUGUUGGUUAAUACCCAUCAGUACUGACGGUACCUGCAGAAUAAGCACCGGCUAACUCCGUGCCAGCAGCCGCGGUAAUACGGAGGGUGCAAGCGUUAAUCGGAUUUACUGGGCGUAAAGCGUGCGUAGGCGGCUACGUAAGUCAGUUGUGAAAGCCCCGGGCUUAACCUGGGAACUGCAAUUGAUACUGCGUGGCUAGAAUUCGGUAGAGGAAGGUGGAACUCCAGGUGUAGCGGUGAAAUGCGUAGAUAUCUGGAAGAACAUCAAUGGCGAAGGCAACCUUCUGGGCCUGAAU
Molecule: ribosomal RNA, 650 nt
Filed under: Salinisphaera dokdonensis
Lineage: Bacteria; Pseudomonadati; Pseudomonadota; Gammaproteobacteria; Salinisphaerales; Salinisphaeraceae
Description: bacterial SSU rRNA
Rfam family: Bacterial small subunit ribosomal RNA
Source: RNAcentral